Dioscorea cayenensis subsp. rotundata (Guinea yam) is the source of this 105-nucleotide small nucleolar RNA. The record is from RefSeq and is a predicted model, not a curated record. Lineage: Eukaryota; Viridiplantae; Streptophyta; Magnoliopsida; Dioscoreales; Dioscoreaceae.
AACCCAUGUUGAGGACAUUUCUGCGGGAAGUCCUUGAACCUAACAUGUCUCAAAUAAAGACUCCAAUUCGGUUUGCACAAAUGAAGAUAUUUCAUUCCUAAAUUU